This 76-nucleotide transfer RNA is filed under the name Acidocella sp. Its description in RNAcentral is "tRNA-Glu". It matches the Rfam family "tRNA". Rfam says of the family: Transfer RNA (tRNA) molecules are approximately 80 nucleotides in length. Their secondary structure includes four short double-helical elements and three loops (D, anti-codon, and T loops). Further hydrogen bonds mediate the characteristic L-shaped molecular structure. tRNAs have two regions of fundamental functional importance: the anti-codon, which is responsible for specific mRNA codon recognition, and the 3' end, to which the tRNAs corresponding amino acid is attached (by aminoacyl-tRNA synthetases). tRNAs cope with the degeneracy of the genetic code in two manners: having more than one tRNA (with a specific anti-codon) for a particular amino acid; and 'wobble' base-pairing, i.e. permitting non-standard base-pairing at the 3rd anti-codon position. The record is from RNAcentral. RNAcentral also lists the same sequence under 5 other names. Lineage: Bacteria; Pseudomonadati; Pseudomonadota; Alphaproteobacteria; Acetobacterales; Acidocellaceae.
GUCCCGUUCGUCUAGAGGCCUAGGACACUGCCCUUUCACGGCGGCGACAGGGGUUCGAAUCCCCUACGGGACGCCA